This 860-nucleotide ribosomal RNA is filed under the name uncultured bacterium. RNAcentral describes it as "bacterial SSU rRNA". It matches the Rfam family "Bacterial small subunit ribosomal RNA", at positions 61 to 914 of the family's 1533-position model. The record is from RNAcentral.
GUCGAGCGGAAACGAUGAUAGCUUGCUAUCAGGCGUCGAGCGGCGGACGGGUGAGUAAUACUUAGGAAUCUACCUAGUAGUGGGGGAUAGCUCGGGGAAACUCGAAUUAAUACCGCAUACGACCUACGGGAGAAAGGGGGCAACUUGUUGCUCUCGCUAUUAGAUGAGCCUAAGUCGGAUUAGCUAGAUGGUGGGGUAAAGGCCUACCAUGGCGACGAUCUGUAGCUGGUCUGAGAGGAUGAUCAGCCACACCGGGACUGAGACACGGCCCGGACUCCUACGGGAGGCAGCAGUGGGGAAUAUUGGACAAUGGGGGCAACCCUGAUCCAGCCAUGCCGCGUGUGUGAAGAAGGCCUUUUGGUUGUAAAGCACUUUAAGCAGUGAAGAAGACUCCAUGGUUAAUACCCAUGGACGAUGACAUUAGCUGCAGAAUAAGCACCGGCUAACUCUGUGCCAGCAGCCGCGGUAAUACAGAGGGUGCAAGCGUUAAUCGGAAUUACUGGGCGUAAAGCGAGCGUAGGUGGCUUGAUAAGUCAGAUGUGAAAUCCCCGGGCUUAACCUGGGAACUGCAUCUGAUACUGUUAGGCUAGAAUAGGUGAGAGGAAGGUAGAAUUCCAGGUGUAGCGGUGAAAUGCGUAGAGAUCUGGAGGAAUACCGAUGGCGAAGGCAGCCUUCUGGCAUCAUAUUGACACUGAGGUUCGAAAGCGUGGGUAGCAAACAGGAUUAGAUACCCUGGUAGUCCACGCCGUAAACGAUGUCUACUAGUCGUUGGGUCCCUUGAGGACUUAGUGACGCAGCUAACGCAAUAAGUAGACCGCCUGGGGAGUACGGCCGCAAGGUUAAAACUCAAAUGAAUUGAC